RNAcentral lists this long non-coding RNA (5992 nucleotides) under Homo sapiens (human). RNAcentral's name for it is "HSALNT0402236". The record is from RNAcentral. Lineage: Eukaryota; Metazoa; Chordata; Mammalia; Primates; Hominidae.
ACACCUGAAACCAUAAAAGUCCUAAAGGAAAACACACAAGAAAAACUCUAUGACAUUGGCCUUGGCAGUGAUGUUUUGGAUAUUUCAAGUUAACUCGUCAUUCACUGACUCCACAUAAAAUCCAUCCCUCAAAUAUUCUCAGAACCUAUCACCAAGACUGUGAUCACUUCUUUGGGAUGCUUUAAAGUUAAUUAGGAAAAAUAAAACUGGGUUUUACCUUUGAAAAACUUUCUAACUGUACUGAUGUGCUCAAAUAGAUGGACACAUGAAUGAAAAAUCCAGAAUUUAUUCUUUCCAUGUGGUCUAGGUCCCUCCAUAUGUUUCUCUGGAUUUUGCCAUUCACUGAAUGCACACGAACACUGAAUUUACUCUCUAUUGCUGUGUAACAAGUUAUUGUAAAAUGUAUUGGCUUAAAACAACAAAUACCAUUUUUGCAGCUUCUGUGGAUCAGGAAUCAUGAAGCAGCUUAGUCGGGUAUUUCAGGCUCAGGGCCUCUCAUGAGGUUGCACUGUAGAUGUGAGCCAAGGCUGCCGUCAUCUGAAGACUGGACUAGGGAUGGAAGCUCUGCAUUUGGGAUCAUACUCAUGGCUGUGGCCCGGAGGCCUCAUUUUUUCACCCUUGGGCCUCUCCGUGGGGCUGCUGCCAACAGGGCCUCCCUAGAAGGAAUGACCCAAGAAGAAGAAAGAAAGACCAAGCUAGAAACCACCGUGUCUUUCAUAACCCAAUAUCAGGAAUGAAGAAGCACCUCUUCUGUGUUCUUUUGGUCUCGCAGACCAACCCUGGUACCAUGUGGAAGGAAAUUACACAAGAGUGUGACUAUCAGGAAUUGAGGAUCACUGGGGCACCUGGAGGCUGGAGUCUACAGGUACUUUAUGGCGAGUCAUGGCGAUGGUGAGGAAGCAGCUACUUUCAUCACAGGUAAAAACUGAUACACAAAACACACAAACAGAGAGGAGCCCUAUAUUUCUGCUUCUCCUUCAGGGUGAAUAGCAGCCACCAUUCACCCUACCAGAGAGAUGUUCUUUAUUUUUUUAUUGCUGGCUGGAUCUUAGGCAAAAUAAGCCUCUCCUGUUUCCCCAGUUGAGGACAAUUGAGAAAGGCUUAUGUUUGCCAAAGAAUAUCUCAUGCUAGCAACAAAACUUUUAAGGAAAUAAUUACAGAAAGCACACAACACCCUACAGUGAGCAGAACGCAGCUCCUUCCCUCCACCCACCUCCCCACUACAGAGAAUGAUCCAGCCCAAUGCCAAAAGCACUGAAGCCGGGAACCCUGACUGAGAUCUCAGCUUCAAUGCUCCUUCCUCAGAGACCUUUCUGUCCCUGACCUUUCUGAGGAGUAUACCCUCUUUUUAUGGGCCCUCAAAACCCCCUCCCUGUGGCAUUUGUUUUAGUUAACAAUUCUACACUUAUGCAUGUGAAUUUGUGAUUAGCAUCCAUCUCCCCCAUCACAGUUAUGAGGGCGAGAGCUAGUUUCCUCCCUGUUGUGCAGGGCACAUAGCACAACGCCUGGCCCCGUAGUCAGGCUCACUAAAUAUUUGCUGAAAGUAGAAAUGAAUAAACAGGACUGUAGCUUCUAGGGGCUUCUGUGGGAGCCAGUAUCGCCAUUCAUACCUGGGGAUUAUGGGAUAUUUUCAACAAAAACAUGCACUUUGCACAAAGUGAAAGUCAGAGCCUGGAGCCUGUGCAAACGGUGCCUUGAGCAGCUCUACGGCGAGUGUGAGGAUGCAGUCAGGGGUCCUUCAGCAGGAGCCGGGGCAUCCUGCAGAACACAGGGCCGGGAUCUUCAGAUGUGCAGCAGGGAGGGGGCUUGGCACAGCCCCAUGAGUUUGAGAAGCUUGAGGCAUUAAGGUGAGUUUCUUGUGGUGCAGCGCGCCAGCAGUGAAGGGAAGUGGUUCUCUCUCCCCUCAUGCACAGACACGCACAAUGUCCAGGAUCCAGGCAGAGAAGCUUCAUCAAAGUUGUCUGUGUUUUGCCGCAGCCGAAUAAAAGCUGUAGGCUUUUCUAAGAAGGGUUAUAAAAGGGAGCAGCCGUGAAGCCCGUGGACAAGUCAUCAAUUACAGCAAUUACAGUAGCACCAUAACCUUCCCAGGCUUGCUGGAGGGAGGUUGCUGUGGCCACAGGAGGUGCACCGCGGAUUACAGGACUAAAGGCCUUCUCUGCUUCUUCACAGUGAUCCAUCUCUGCCCAGCACCCAAGUACUGAGUUAACCUACAACGUGGUUCAGAAUUAAAACAUAAAAUGCCAGGGCCCUCCCCCAGUUAGCAGUAUUGGUUGGAAACAUGUUUAGCAGUGAGUAACAGAAGUCCCAAGAAAUAAUGGCUAAAACAAACAAGAGUAUGUGUCUUCACAUAGUAAGGUAUCAAGAGGUGGCUGUCACUUUAAGUUCACUUUCUCAUGGAUGCCAUCAAACACCAGGUUUAUUCAACCUUCAUGCACUGCCAUCACCUUCCCAUCCACGGACUCUUCCGACAUCUGCUGAACGUCAUCACAAGGGGGCUGCCAUAGCUCCACCCGUUGUAUCAGCAUUCAGGGAAGGAGGACAGUGCCAACAAUAUGUCUGCUCAUUUUUUUAAGAGAGGAAAAGACUCUCCUGGAAGUCCACGGCAGCAUUAUGCUUACUUCUUACUUGCCAGAACUUUGUCAUAUGGUCAGACUUUAAAGCAGAGAGGCCUUUGCUGUCAGUGGAAUACAGCAACACACAAGACAGACACAGUUGCCUUCCCGCUGAGGCUGGACGUCUACAAAGAAACUCUGGACAGCUAUUUGCCAAGGCGAUGGGCACUACAGAUGAGACGCACAAAUGAUAUGACUCAUGGGUGACGCUGGGCAAACCUCGGUGGUUGAGUCCUGUUGGGUUUUCUCAUAGGAGGUGCUUCCAGGAACAUUCUUGUGCAAGACCGUGUGAGAGUAUCUCCAAGAUAGACAAGUGGAAGUGAAAUUCUGGGCCAUAGUGGAUGAACACUUGCCAAGAGGUGUUGACAAAUUAGUCUUAAAUGAACCUGUACUGCAUUUUAAGGCCUGGGAGCUCUUAGUGGCCCCAUCCUUUCCAAAGCUUGUGUGGUUGGCCGAGUAAUGUCUUCCAAGAUGUCCAAUUCCCAAUCCCUGGAACUUCUGAAUGCUAGCCUGUAUGACAAAAGAGACUCUGAAGCUGGGAUUAAGUUAAGAAUCUUGAGUGGGGAGAUUAUCCUGGAUAAUCCAAAUGGGUCCUUAUAAGAAAGAGGCAUGAGAUCAGAGAACCAGAAGGUGAUGUGAGGAUGGAAUCUAAGAGAGAGUUGAGGAUGCUGUGGCUGCUGGCUUUGAAGGUGCAGGAAGGGCCAUGAGCCAAGGAAUGUGAGAAAUGGAGCUGGAGUUGCCAGAAAAGGCAAGAACAGGGAAUCUUCCUGAGAGGCUGCAGAAGGAGCCAGCUGUGCAACACCUUGACUUUAGCCCAGCGAGACUGUUUUCCAACUUCUGAGCUCCAAAACUAAAUUGGAGGCAGAAGGUUACCAACAUUGCCUGGUGUCCAGCCAGGAGGUAGAGCGUGGUGGCAUCCAGAACCUUCCUCCAACUCCUGCCUGGCGUGGUUUUUAUUCAUCUUUGUAUUCCCAAGAAACUUCUCAGUGUCUCAGGAGUGUUAGGCACUCAAGCUUUCCAAGGUGAAAGUGUUGGACACUCUUUCUUCAUCUCAGAUUUAAUCAACUAAGAAUGCUGCAAAUUGAACACCAGUCCACAAAACUCAGGAAUACAUGAAAAGCAUUGUGCCUUAUUUUUAACUAACUCAAAUUCUAUGUCAGUCUCCCUUUUAUGCUGGAUGUUGGCGCUAAAUCUCAGUGGGUUCCUCAUUCUGCCAGACCUGUGUCCAGUUUGGGGGCUUCACAUAGAGCCACCCCAUCACAGGAGAGGGAAGGGUCUUGCUCUUGGUUGCCAUCACUCCACCCUCUUGUCUUCCGAGCUUUGAUGUUCACUUUCCUUUUCACCACUCGGAAGCUUCCUGCCAUGAUACAUUGAGACCUCAAUGUUAAUGCCAAUUGGGGUUUGGGGUUCUCAUAAACUCAGAAGUCCAGGAAAAUCGCCUGCUGCCUCCCACAACACUCUGAGGGCAUUCUGGAAUCCUACCACUUACCUGGAGCCUGCUGGCCUCAACUGUUUUGAAGUCUGUGUCUGGGCCAUGCAGGUAAAUGGGAGGAUGUUCUGUGGCCAUAAAAAUACCCGAAGUCCCACCUAAAGUUGAUGCAGGGUCUUCUGCAUUUCAUUGCAAAAUUGUUCUAUCAUUUCUAUAGUUUUCAGCCUACAGUCAGGGGCCAGGACUUUGCACCCUUGGUAAACCUCAAUCUCUUCUCCUUCCUGGCUUCUACUCCUUUCUCCCUCAAUCCCAAAUCAAGGCCCUUGAUUGUCUGGAGGUAGGAAAGCCUGGUUCUGGCUCAUGAUAUAGUCUACAUCAUAGCCUUUGUCAUCUCAUGGAUUCACUCAACAACCGUGUGUGGAUGGGGCCACCCAAUAUGUGCCAGGAGUUGAGGACACGCAGGGUUAUGAUGAUGAAAUAGAUAAGGGGCCCACACUCACGGACCCUGCAGGACAGUGGAGCUGUGGACCCAGCAUGCGAGUAAAGACCCAGUGAGCUCACCAGACAGAUCAUUUAAAUCAGGUGAUAGGACAGUGAAGGGCGGGGGCUGCAUUAGUUUUGGUGGCAAGAGAAGGAUUAUCUUCUGAGAGGAUCCACAAAGUAAAGAGGGCCGGUAUGACUGGGUAGAGUGAGGACCGUGGUUGAGGCAGAAGAUGGAGCUCUUUAUUGAGCUCUAGGGAGCCCGUCGGAUGGGACCUACGGGGCUUGAGGGAGCCCAUCGGAUGGGACCUACGGGGCUUGAGGGAGCCCAUCGGAUGGGACCUACGGGGCUUGAGGGAGCCCAUCGGAUGGGACCUACGGGGCUUGAGGGAGCCCAUAGGAUGGGACCUACGGGGCUUGGCGGACUUAAUUUUAAAUGUGGAAGAAGCCAUUGCAGAGCCUGAACCUGAGGUGUGGCAUGGUUCGAGUUACUUCAAACCAAAUUUAUUGAAAUCUCUUUGCAUAAAAUGCAAUGCGUAGAUCUUAAGAGUAUAGUUCAAUGAGAUUUGAUAAAUGUAUGCACCAGUGUAACAACUCCUCCAGUCAAGAUAAAGAAACGUCCCUCACUAUUUCCUCAUGCCCCUUCAUAGUCAAUAUCUGAUCCACUCAGCCUAGGCAACCAUUGAUCUGCUUUUAUCACCAUAGAUAUUUGGGUAUGAGUCUUUGUAUGAUCAGCUAUUUUUAUGUUGCUUGGGUAAAUAUUUAGGAAUAGAACUGCUGAGGCCAAGGAUAGAAUAUUUAACUUGAUUGCCGACUGUUUUUCCCAAGUGGUUGUACCACGUUCUGCCUCCACCAGCAUGUGUGAGUUUCCAGGGCUUCUUGUCCUUGCCAGAUACCAGGUGGUUGCAUGCCGUGUCCCAGUGGCUGUUGGGAAUCACAGUAGCUGGGCCCAAGAUGACUCUGGAGGACUUUACAUUUGCGCCCAUCUGUGGGUCCUCCUAUGCCAGUGUUUCCCAAAGCAUGGGCCAUGCGCAUUAUUCUUUCCAAAAUGAUGUCAUAUGGUGCAUAGGAAUGUCAUGGAAUACAAUGGAAUCACUCUGGAAGGAACUUUUCCCUUCUCAGGUGUUGUUUGAAUAUUCCUGAUGUGAUCGAGGAGAUUAACUGCUACUUAACAUCUCUGCACCGCUUGCUAAACUCCUUGUUAAAAUUAUGCUUUUUAUUUUGAAGGAGUUCUAGAUUCACAUGCGUUGUAAGAAAUAACAGAGAGAUUGCAUGUACUCUUCACCCAGUUUCUCCCAAUGGUAACAUCUUGCGAAACUAUGGUGCAAAAUCAAAACCAAAUCUCUUUUUAUAACAAAGAGAGGGUUCCCACCUCAAGCUCAGAUCCUUCCCUGUGUAGCUAGAACUUAGUAACAGUGUUUUAUUUUAUUAUAUUCAGUUUCAAGGGUUACAUUCUAUUUAUAACAAAUGA